ACUUAAAUAGCUUAAUAAUAAAGCUUUACAUUGAAGAUGUAAAAAUGGUUUAACCUUUAAGUG
Molecule: transfer RNA, 63 nt
Filed under: Polytoxus fuscovittatus
Lineage: Eukaryota; Metazoa; Arthropoda; Insecta; Hemiptera; Reduviidae
Description: tRNA-Phe
Rfam family: tRNA
About the family: Transfer RNA (tRNA) molecules are approximately 80 nucleotides in length. Their secondary structure includes four short double-helical elements and three loops (D, anti-codon, and T loops).
Source: RNAcentral